CUAUCUGUCGUGGGCGCUGGAGAACUGAGGGGGGCUGCUCCUAGUACGAGAGGACCGGAGUGGACGCAUCACUGGUGUUCGGGUUGUCAUGCCAAUGGCACUGCCCGGUAGCUAAAUGCGGAAGAGAUAAGUGCUGAAAGCAUCUAAGCACGAAACUUGCCCCGAGAUGAGUUCUCCCUGAGACUUAGAGUCUCCUGAAGGAACGUUGAAGACGACGACGUUGAUAGGCCGGGUGUGUAAGCGCAGCGAUGCGUUGAGCUAACCGGUACUAAUGAACCGUGAGGCUUAACCUUACAACGCCGAAG
This 305-nucleotide ribosomal RNA is filed under the name Salmonella enterica. RNAcentral's name for it is "partial 23S ribosomal RNA". It matches the Rfam family "Bacterial large subunit ribosomal RNA", at positions 2638 to 2925 of the family's 2925-position model. Lineage: Bacteria; Pseudomonadati; Pseudomonadota; Gammaproteobacteria; Enterobacterales; Enterobacteriaceae. The record is from RNAcentral.